Molecule: non-coding RNA, 122 nt
Organism: Hypoxylon sp. FL1857
Lineage: Eukaryota; Fungi; Ascomycota; Sordariomycetes; Xylariales; Hypoxylaceae
Source: the annotation of a GenBank genome assembly
GGGAGUUUGGCCGAGUGGUUAAGGCGUUGUGUUUAGGUCUUCUUCUAUGUUCUCUUUGAGAAGGACAUCUGAACCCCGACCCGCAAUGGGAAACCGCGCAGGUUCGAAUCCUGCAGCUCUCA